UAGGUCUCAGUUCGGACUGUAGGCUGCAACUCGCCUACACGAAGUUGGAAUUGCUAGUAAUCGUGGAUCAGCAUGCCACGGUGAAUACGUUCCCGGGUCUUGUACACACCGCCCGUCACACCAUGGGAGCUGGUAACACCCGAAGUCAGUAGUCUAACCGCAAGGAGGACGCUGCCGAAGGUAGGAUUAGCGACUGGGGUGAAGUCGUAACAAGGUAUC
This 219-nucleotide ribosomal RNA is filed under the name uncultured bacterium. RNAcentral's name for it is "partial 16S ribosomal RNA". It matches the Rfam family "Bacterial small subunit ribosomal RNA", at positions 1282 to 1500 of the family's 1533-position model. The record is from RNAcentral.